CCCUUAGAUGUCCGGGGCUGCACGCGCGCUACACUGAAGGAAUCAGCGUGCUAAAACCAUUGUCAAAAGGCAUUGGUAAACCCAUUAAAAUCCUACGUGAUUGGGAUCGGGAAUUGCAAUUAUUUCCCUUGAACGAGGAAUUCCCAGUAAGUGUGGGUCAUAAGCUCGCGUUGAUUACGUCCCUGCCCUUUGUACACACCGCCCGUCGCUGCCCGGGACUGAGCCGUUUCGAGAAAAGCGGGGACUGCUGCUGUCGGGGCUUUCGGGCCUUGGCUUCGGUGGAAACCGCUUUAAUCGCAGUGGCUUGAACCGGGCAAAAGUCGUAACA
RNAcentral lists this ribosomal RNA (328 nucleotides) under uncultured eukaryote. Its description in RNAcentral is "partial 18S ribosomal RNA". It matches the Rfam family "Eukaryotic small subunit ribosomal RNA", at positions 1470 to 1796 of the family's 1831-position model. The record is from RNAcentral.